RNAcentral lists this ribosomal RNA (480 nucleotides) under uncultured bacterium. Its description in RNAcentral is "bacterial SSU rRNA". It matches the Rfam family "Bacterial small subunit ribosomal RNA", at positions 15 to 518 of the family's 1533-position model. The record is from RNAcentral.
GAUUAUGGCUCAGGACGAACGCUGGCGGCGUGCUUAACACAUGCAAGUCGAACGGGAGUAUUGAAGAAGCUUGCUUAGAGAUACUUUAGUGGCGGACGGGUGAGUAACGCGUGAGGAGCUGUCCUAUGCAGGGGGACAACAGCUGGAAACGGCUGCUAAUACCCCAUAAGCCGAGAGGUAAAAGGAUCAAUCCGGCAGAGGAGGUACUCGCGUCCUAUCAGCUAGUAGGUGAGGUAACGGCUCACCUAGGCGAAGACGGGUAGCCGGCCUGAGAGGGCGAACGGCCACACUGGAACUGAGAUACGGUCCAGACUCCUACGGGAGGCAGCAGUGGGGAAUAUUGGGCAAUGGGGGGAAACCCUGACCCAGCGACGCCGCGUGGGUGAAGAAAUCCUUCGGGAUGUAAAGCCCUGUUGUAUGGGAAGAGCGGAAGACGGUACCAUACGAGGAAGCCCCGGCAAACUACGUGCCAGCCGCCGC